CCUACGGGUGGCUGCAGUGAGGAAUAUUGGGCAAUGGGCGCUAGCCUGAACCAGCCAAGUAGCGUGAAGGAUGACUGCCCUAUGGGUUGUAAACUUCUUUUAUAGGGGAAUAAAGUGCAGUAUGUAUACUGCUUCGCAUGUACCUUAUGAAUAAGGAUCGGCUAACUCCGUGCCAGCAGCAGCGGUAAUACGGAGGAGCCGAGCGUUAUCCGGAUUUAUUGGGUUUAACGGGAGCGUAGGCGGGUUGUUAAGUCAGUUGUGAAAGUUUGCGGCUCAACCGUAAAAUGGCAGUUGAUACUGGAAUACUUGAGUGCAGUAGAGGAAGGCGGAAUUCGUGGUGUAGCGGUGAAAUGCGUAGAUAUAACGAAGAACUCCGAUGGCGAAGGCGGCCUGCUGGACUGUAACUGACGCUGAUGCUCGAAAGUGUGGGUAUCAAACAGGAUUAGAUACCCCUGUAGUC
This 460-nucleotide ribosomal RNA is filed under the name uncultured bacterium. RNAcentral's name for it is "partial 16S ribosomal RNA". It matches the Rfam family "Bacterial small subunit ribosomal RNA", at positions 338 to 795 of the family's 1533-position model. The record is from RNAcentral.